Molecule: ribosomal RNA, 301 nt
Filed under: uncultured bacterium
Lineage: Bacteria
Description: partial 16S ribosomal RNA
Rfam family: Bacterial small subunit ribosomal RNA
Source: RNAcentral
CAGUCGCCGCGGUAAUACGAAGGGUGCAAGCGUUAAUCGGAAUUACUGGGCGUAAAGCGCGCGUAGGUUGUUUGGUAAGAUGGAUGUGAAAUCCCCGGGCUCAACCUGGGAACUGCAUCCAUAACUGCCUGACUAGAGUACGGUAGAGGGUGGUGGAAUUUCCUGUGUAGCGGUGAAAUGCGUAGAUAUAGGAAGGAACACCAGUGGCGAAGGCGACCACCUGGACUGAUACUGACACUGAGGUGCGAAAGCGUGGGGAGCAAACAGGAUUAGAUACCCGCGUAGUCCCUGUCUCUUAUAC